GUCCACGCCCUAAACGAUGGAUACUCGACAUCAGCGAUACACUGUUGGUGUCUGAGCGAAAGCAUUAAGUAUCCCACCUGGGAAGUACGACCGCAAGGUUGAAACUCAAAUGAAUUGACGGGGUCGCACAAGCGGUGGAGCAUGUGGUUUAAUUCGAUGAUACGCGAGGAACCUUACCUGGGCUAGAAUGCGGUUUGACCGCUGGUGAAAGCUAGUUUUAUAGCAAUAUACAGAUCGUAAGGUGCUGCAUGGCUGUCGU
This 259-nucleotide ribosomal RNA is filed under the name uncultured bacterium. Its description in RNAcentral is "partial 16S ribosomal RNA". It matches the Rfam family "Bacterial small subunit ribosomal RNA", at positions 793 to 1055 of the family's 1533-position model. The record is from RNAcentral.